CAGAGAAGGAGAACAUUCCAGGAAUGGGAGACAACCAGUGAGAAUGCAUGGAGAUGGGGGAUGGAGUUUCUUGUGAGAGGAACAGCUAGAACGUUAAAACACUGGAAAGGAAAUUCAAUUCAAUAAGUAUUUAUGAAGAACUUACUACAUAUCAGCCACUGUGGUAGUCCCUGGCGAUUCAAAGUCAAAAGUGAAAUUGUUCCUUGCCCUUAAGGAGUUUACAUUCUACAGAAGAGGAAAAAGCUUGGCAAUGGUGAUGUAUACCUAAAACCUUAGGUGCCAGUUCAAGGUAAGCCUGCAAAAUUGAAAGAGUUGGAAGAAUUUUGCGUCGGGAAACAGUAUCAAGCCCAGUGGUUUUGAAGAGGGAUUCAAUUUACUCUGUAGAUCUUCAGGACAGAAUGAAGUGGGAGUCUCAGGAAGGAAGAUUUCAAUUCACUCUAAGAAGGAACUUUCUCAUCUGCUGCUAUUCAAAGAUGAAAUGGGCUUCCUAAGAAGAUAAUUCCUUCUCUCUGAAAAUAUUUCUGCUAAGGUUGGAUGACCACCUGUCAAGGAUAUUAGAAAAGGGAUUCCUGCUUUAGGAUAGGAAGGGACCUAGGAGGCCAUUAAUGACAAUUAUCUCUUUUAUAGAUGAGGAAAAUGUGGCACAGAGAGAUUAAGUGUCUGAAGCCAUAUUGGAGCCCAGGUCUUUCUGACCCCACACAUUCAAUGAGUUCUAAAGUGGGAAAGCAAGGAGAACACAUCUUUAUUAAGCACGUACUUUGUGCCAGGCACUAUGCUAAGCACUUUACAAAUAUUAUCUCAUUUGAUCUUCAUAACA
Long non-coding RNA from Vombatus ursinus (common wombat), 817 nucleotides. RefSeq lists it as uncharacterized. NCBI's taxonomy places the organism in Eukaryota, Metazoa, Chordata, Mammalia, Diprotodontia, Vombatidae. The transcript is spliced from 3 exons. The record is from RefSeq and is a predicted model, not a curated record.